UACGUAGGGUGCAAGCGUUGUCCGGAAUCAUUGGGCGUAAAGCGCGCGUAGGCGGCCCGAUAAGUCCGCUGUAAAAGUCAACGGCUCAACUGUUGAAAGCCGGUGGAUACUGUCGGGCUAGAGUACGGAAGAGGCAAGUGGAAUUCCUGGUGUAGCGGUGGAAUGCGCAGAUAUCGUAAGGAAGGCCGGUGGCGAAAGCGAGCCUCUGGACAGUUACUGACGCUGAUGCACGAAGGCCAGGGGAGCAAACGGG
Molecule: ribosomal RNA, 253 nt
Filed under: uncultured bacterium
Lineage: Bacteria
Description: partial 16S ribosomal RNA
Rfam family: Bacterial small subunit ribosomal RNA
Source: RNAcentral